This 497-nucleotide ribosomal RNA is filed under the name uncultured bacterium. RNAcentral describes it as "partial 16S ribosomal RNA". It matches the Rfam family "Bacterial small subunit ribosomal RNA", at positions 28 to 507 of the family's 1533-position model. The record is from RNAcentral.
GACGAACGCUGGCGGCGUGCCUAAUACAUGCAAGUUGAGCGAUGAAGAUUGGUGCUUGCACCAAUUUGAAGAGCAGCGAACGGGUGAGUAACGCGUGGGGAAUCUGCCUUUGAGCGGGGGACAACAUUUGGAAACGAAUGCUAAUACCGCAUAACAACUUUAAACAUAAGUUUUAAGUUUGAAAGAUGCAAUUGCAUCACUCAAAGAUGAUCCCGCGUUGUAUUAGCUAGUUGGUGAGGUAAAGGCUCACCAAGGCGAUGAUACAUAGCCGACCUGAGAGGGUGAUCGGCCACAUUGGGACUGAGACACGGCCCAAACUCCUACGGGAGGCAGCAGUAGGGAAUCUUCGGCAAUGGACGAAAGUCUGGCCGAGCAACGCCGCGGGAGUGAAGAAGGUUUUCGGAUCGUAAAACUCUGUUGGUAGAGAAGAACGUUGGUGAGAGUGGAAAGCACAUCAAGUGACGGUAACUACCCAGAAAGGGACGGCUAACUACGUG